RNAcentral lists this ribosomal RNA (462 nucleotides) under uncultured bacterium. Its description in RNAcentral is "partial 16S ribosomal RNA". It matches the Rfam family "Bacterial small subunit ribosomal RNA", at positions 28 to 507 of the family's 1533-position model. The record is from RNAcentral.
GACGAACGCUGGCGGCGUGCUUAACACAUGCAAGUCGAGCGGAAAGGCCCUUCGGGGUACUCGAGCGGCGAACGGGUGAGUAACACGUGAGUAACCUGCCCCAGACUUUGGGAUAACCCUCGGAAACGGGGGCUAAUACCGGAUACGACACAGCUUCGCAUGGGGUCUGUGUGGAAAGUUUUUCGGUUUGGGAUGGGCUCGCGGCCUAUCAGCUUGUUGGUGGGGUGAUGGCCUACCAAGGCGACGACGGGUAGCCGGCCUGAGAGGGCGACCGGCCACACUGGGACUGAGACACGGCCCAGCCUCCUACGGGAGGCAGCUGUGGGGAAUAUUGCACAAUGGGCGGAAGCCUGAUGCAGCGACGCCGCGUGAGGGAUGACGGCCUUCGGGUUGUAAACCUCUUUCAGCAGGGACGAAGCGUAAGUGACGGUACCUGCAGAAGAAGCGCCGGCCAACUACGUG